This is a long non-coding RNA of Medicago truncatula (barrel medic), 1574 nucleotides long. RefSeq lists it as uncharacterized. The record is from RefSeq and is a predicted model, not a curated record. NCBI's taxonomy places the organism in Eukaryota, Viridiplantae, Streptophyta, Magnoliopsida, Fabales, Fabaceae. The transcript has 4 exons.
UGUUUGACUCCUUGAACAAUGCCCAUACCCCUCAGGGCACUAGGCAGUUGGAACGGAAGAGAAAUAGGAGUGGCGACGUAAUUGGCGGCGGUAAAUCCUUGUCUUCUACUGGAGAUGAAGCCCAAAUUUUACUACAGAAACACAGGCGUGCAGCAGCGGUUGGAAGUAAUAGGGAAAAAGAUGCUAGUGCAUACAUUUUAUUGAGAAAGGACAUUUUCAGUCUUAGGAUUUGGGUUUCAUACUUGGUAAUCACUUCUCUGUAACGAAGCUUACUGCUAGCCUAUCGCUUAGAGCCAAGUUUUGACCGUGAUUGCUCGUCACUUCGGGGCGCCUUAUUCCUUCACCCGAGAUCCAAGGCAGUAGAACACUUAAUCUUGAAAACCUGUCAAGUUAAAAUCACUAGUGGUCCAAACGCUGCAUGUGCUGUUUGUGCGGCAUUCUUUAUCGUGAUAGAGAAGUUCCUGGAGUGGCUUGAAAAGUGAGUUGACUUAAGUAAAGGACAACAAACAGUAUUCGUGGAUCGGGAAGACCAACUCUCAUUCAAGGAAACGGAUCGUUGACAACAACAGGCCAGGAAGAAAUAGAAAGCGACUAGUUGAUUAUAGAGUCAUAUGCUAGUAUCCAGAUCAUCAUUCGAUCAACAUACCCGGACUUCCGGCUCGGUGCAGCCUUCUAUAAUGUGCUUGAUGCUCAGAGAUGCCAUGCUCCGGUUCUGUAACAAUGGCUUCAGGCUGUUGAUGAAGAGGUGUUACUAAUAUAAAAAAGGCUAUGUUCAACACCAAUUUUGCAUUCUUCUAUCAUAGUCGGAGAUCUUGAUGGAAAUAUUUUUCGCAUAUGAUAGGGCCAUGAUAGGGAGCACACAAAUUGCUUCACUUAGAUAAUUUAUUUGUAUACAAUGUCAUUCGCGGAUGCAUUCUCCAAACUGGGGAAAGCUAUGAUGUAAUGACAAGAUUUAGUAUUAGUUAAUUUAAGUAGUUAUUUUCGCAAUUCCUUCACUUGAUAAUAGAGAAGAGGGAAGACUAAUUGUUUCACUUGAUCGACAUGUAGAAAAUGGUACAAAUAUACAAGAUCCUAAUUACAAUAUCAAUCAAUUGAAAGACAUGCUGGAACAUCAUACUUGUCCUUAUCCCUUCUCUCUGGCUUUGUUUGGGAGUGAGAUGGAAAAAUAAGGGAGGACUUUGAAGGGAAAGGGAGGAAAGAAAAAGGAAAGAAAUCAUUCACUUUGUUUGUGAGUGUUUUUGGAAAGGAUUGGGGGAUGAAAAUACUUAUGAGCAAUAUUUUCAUUGUUUUGAUAGUAUUAUUAUGUGCUAGAAAAUGAUUAGGAAUUUUUUAUUCUAAUCCUCCAAUACCCUCAAAAAUCAUUUCACAUUGUGUUUUUUGAGUUCCUCCAUUUUGGAGUGUUUCAGUCCAAUAAAAAGUAAAUAAAUUGACAUGCAAAGUGAGGGGAAACUCUUCCUUUUCCUUCUCUGUUUAUUCUCUGUUUCAUUCUGCUUUAAACUCCCAAACAAAGCUUCAGUUGGUUAUGUAAUUGUAUACUAUGUUACUGCUUUGUUCUUCUUCAGAAUUAAGGUAAA